GACGAACGCUGGCGGCGUGCUUAACACAUGCAAGUCGAACGGAAAGGCCCUGCUUUUGUGGGGUGCUCGAGUGGCGAACGGGUGAGUAACACGUGAGUAACCUGCCCUUGACUUUGGGAUAACUUCAGGAAACUGGGGCUAAUACCGGAUAGGAGCUCCUGCUGCAUGGUGGGGGUUGGAAAGUUUCGGCGGUUGGGGAUGGACUCGCGGCUUAUCAGCUUGUUGGUGGGGUAGUGGCUUACCAAGGCUUUGACGGGUAGCCGGCCUGAGAGGGUGACCGGCCACAUUGGGACUGAGAUACGGCCCGGACGCCUGCGGGAGGCAGCAGUGGGGAAUGUUGCACAAUGGGCGGAAGCCUGAUGCAGCAACGCCGCGUGCGGGAUGACGGCCUUCGGGUUGUAAACCGCUUUCGCCUGUGACGAAGCGUGAGUGACGGUAAUGGGUAAAGAAGCACCGGCUAACUACGUG
Molecule: ribosomal RNA, 468 nt
Filed under: uncultured bacterium
Lineage: Bacteria
Description: partial 16S ribosomal RNA
Rfam family: Bacterial small subunit ribosomal RNA
Source: RNAcentral